UAUAUAUAAGAGUCCGGCUACAAAACCCUAAAGGACCAUUAUCAUUCUAACCGCAUAUCUCUUCAUCUAAGGGUCGAAAAUCUAAUAGCAUCAAUGAUUUGGUACUGAUAAUAAUAUUUUAGUCUAGCUCUUUCUCUCUCUCUCUCUCUAUAUAUAUAUAUAAUUGAGCUAGAAUACUUUCAGAAGUACCAAGGGGUUGGUGCUUCUAAGUUUCUAGCUUUUGGAUCUACUCCUUCAUUAUUAAUAGUUUUUGGAUCAAACACUAUUUCACCUACCACCAUCAUCUCAGCCCUACAUCUUUCCAUCCAAUGGUUAAAAACUCAAAAACACCACUCCCUUAGUGCUUUUGAGAGCAUUCUAGUUCAACUCUCUCUCUCUCUCUCUCUCUCUAUAUAUAUAUAUAUAUAUA
Molecule: long non-coding RNA, 409 nt
Filed under: Ananas comosus (pineapple)
Lineage: Eukaryota; Viridiplantae; Streptophyta; Magnoliopsida; Poales; Bromeliaceae
Description: long non-coding RNA (ACOM_LNC015775)
Source: RNAcentral